UGGGGAAUCUUGCGCAAUGGGCGAAAGCCUGACGCAGCGACGCCGCGUGAGCGAUGAAGGCCCUCGGGUUGUAAAGCUCUGUGGAGGGGGACGAAUAAGGGUCGUCGAACAGACGGCCUGAUGACGGUACCCCUUUAGCAAGCACCGGCUAACUCUGUGCCAGCAGCCGCGGUAAGACAGAGGGUGCAAACGUUGUUCGGAAUUACUGGGCGUAAAGCGCGUGUAGGCGGCUUGGCAAGUCGGGUGUGAAAGCCCUGGGCUCAACCUAGGAAGUGCACACGAAACUGCCGAGCUGGAGUUCUGGAGAGGAAGGCGGAAUUCUCGGUGUAGAGGUGAAAUUCGUAGAUAUCGAGAGGAACACCGGUGGCGAAGGCGGCCUUCUGGACAGUGACUGACGCUGAGACGCGAAAGCGUGGGGAGCAAACAGG
This 428-nucleotide ribosomal RNA is filed under the name uncultured bacterium. RNAcentral describes it as "bacterial SSU rRNA". It matches the Rfam family "Bacterial small subunit ribosomal RNA", at positions 355 to 776 of the family's 1533-position model. The record is from RNAcentral.